RNAcentral lists this unclassified non-coding RNA (510 nucleotides) under Hevea brasiliensis (rubber tree). Lineage: Eukaryota; Viridiplantae; Streptophyta; Magnoliopsida; Malpighiales; Euphorbiaceae. The record is from RNAcentral.
GCUUCCAAACUUAAAAAUAACAAUAAAGAUUCUCAGAAAGUAAGUGAAGGCCCUGUAAGAAAAAAGAAAACCAAAAUAAGCCAAAGUGGCCCUUCUUCCCUCCAAGAAGGGAGCUGCUCGGAAAAUCCUUUCAUUUCACUUAUAAAUGAACACUAUCAGUACCAUUUUCACUUUGAUAUUCCAAUGAUUAAAUAAACCAAAUUCCCCAAAAGAAGGCACAAACAAUCCAAGCAAAAUAAAUCAUACCUGAAAAAAAAAAAUUCUUCUAGGUAACAAAUUUACCUUGAAAAAUUAAGUCCCAUAAAACCCCAUAGCUUUGAAUUCAGUGGGUUUAACAAGUUGGUCUCGGCAAAAUCAAUUUAACAAUUUUUUUUUAAAGCCUCUUAACAAUUGUUUUUUGAUUAUUAAACAAAGCUCAAUCCAUAAAAAUAAGGAUUUUUUAAAAUAGCGAAAUCAUAGGUACUAGUCCUGAAAACAAAGAGGAAUUACCUUGGAAGGAUCGACCUUCUG